CGGGACGUAGUUCAGUUGGUAGAACGCUCGGUUCGGGACCGAGAGGUCGGCAGUUCAAAUCUGCCCGUCCCGA
This 73-nucleotide transfer RNA is filed under the name Candidatus Gottesmanbacteria bacterium. RNAcentral's name for it is "tRNA-Pro". It matches the Rfam family "tRNA". From Rfam's summary of the family: Transfer RNA (tRNA) molecules are approximately 80 nucleotides in length. Their secondary structure includes four short double-helical elements and three loops (D, anti-codon, and T loops). Further hydrogen bonds mediate the characteristic L-shaped molecular structure. tRNAs have two regions of fundamental functional importance: the anti-codon, which is responsible for specific mRNA codon recognition, and the 3' end, to which the tRNAs corresponding amino acid is attached (by aminoacyl-tRNA synthetases). tRNAs cope with the degeneracy of the genetic code in two manners: having more than one tRNA (with a specific anti-codon) for a particular amino acid; and 'wobble' base-pairing, i.e. permitting non-standard base-pairing at the 3rd anti-codon position. The record is from RNAcentral. Lineage: Bacteria; Candidatus Gottesmaniibacteriota.